AAACUUUCAACAACGGAUCUCUUGGCUCUCGCAUCGAUGAAGAACGCAGCGAAAUGUGAUAAGUAAUGUGAAUUGCAGAAUUCAGUGAAUCAUCGAAUCUUUGAACGCAUCUUGCACUCUUUGGUAUUCCGAAGAGUAUGUCUGUUUGAGUGUCAUGA
Molecule: ribosomal RNA, 158 nt
Filed under: Rhodosporidiobolus azoricus
Lineage: Eukaryota; Fungi; Basidiomycota; Microbotryomycetes; Sporidiobolales; Sporidiobolaceae
Description: 5.8S ribosomal RNA
Rfam family: 5.8S ribosomal RNA
About the family: 5.8S ribosomal RNA (5.8S rRNA) is a component of the large subunit of the eukaryotic ribosome. It is transcribed by RNA polymerase I as part of the 45S precursor that also contains 18S and 28S rRNA. Functionally, it is thought that 5.8S rRNA may be involved in ribosome translocation.
Source: RNAcentral